Molecule: transfer RNA, 74 nt
Filed under: Ruminococcus sp.
Lineage: Bacteria; Bacillati; Bacillota; Clostridia; Eubacteriales; Oscillospiraceae
Also listed under: 6 other names
Description: tRNA-Met
Rfam family: tRNA
About the family: Transfer RNA (tRNA) molecules are approximately 80 nucleotides in length. Their secondary structure includes four short double-helical elements and three loops (D, anti-codon, and T loops).
Source: RNAcentral
CGCGGGAUGGAGCAACCCGGAAGCUCGUCGGGCUCAUAACCCGAAGGUUGUAGGUUCAAAUCCUACUCCCGCAA